This 468-nucleotide ribosomal RNA is filed under the name uncultured bacterium. Its description in RNAcentral is "partial 16S ribosomal RNA". The stretch from base 56 to 468 matches the Rfam family "Bacterial small subunit ribosomal RNA", at positions 37 to 507 of the family's 1533-position model. The record is from RNAcentral.
GGGGGGGGGGGGGGGGGGGGGGGGGGGGGGGGGGGGGGGGGGGGGGGGGGGGGGGUGGUGGGGUGCUCGGGGGGCGAGCGGGGGGGUGACGCGUGGGUGACGUGCGGUUGGCUUUGGGGUACCUUCGGGGAAGUGGGGCUAAUACCGGGUGGGAGCUCCUGCUGCGUGGUGGGGGUUGGAAAGUUUCGGCGGUUGGGGAUGGACUCGCGGCUUAUCAGCUUGUUGGUGGGGUAGUGGCUUACCAAGGCUUUGACGGGUAGCUGGCCUGAGAGGGUGACCGGCCACAUUGGGACUGAGAUACGGCCCAGACUCCUACGGGAGGCAGCAGUGGGGAAUAAUGCACAAUGGGCGGAAGCCUGAUGCAGCAACGCCGCGUGCGGGAUGACGGCCUUCGGGUUGUAAACCGCUUUCGCCUGUGACGAAGCGUGAGUGACGGUAAUGGGUAAAGAAGCACCGGCUAACUACGUG